UCUGAAAUCGAUAAACUAAAUCUUCACAAACAGUGCCAGCUGGGCGUUCUGCCGCUGGGCACCGGAAAUGAUCUGGCGCGGGUGCUCGGCUGGGGGCCGUCCUGUGACGAUGACACUCAACUCCCUCAGAUACUGGAGAAGCUGGAGCGAGCCAGCACCAAGAUGCUGGACAGGUGGAGUAUAAUGAC
Sinocyclocheilus grahami is the source of this 188-nucleotide long non-coding RNA. RefSeq lists it as uncharacterized. The transcript has 3 exons. The record is from RefSeq and is a predicted model, not a curated record. NCBI's taxonomy places the organism in Eukaryota, Metazoa, Chordata, Actinopteri, Cypriniformes, Cyprinidae.